RNAcentral lists this ribosomal RNA (455 nucleotides) under uncultured bacterium. RNAcentral's name for it is "bacterial SSU rRNA". It matches the Rfam family "Bacterial small subunit ribosomal RNA", at positions 54 to 511 of the family's 1533-position model. The record is from RNAcentral.
CGGCCGCGUCGACCGGAAAGGCCCUGCUUGCAGGGUACUCGAGUGGCGAACGGGUGAGUAACACGUGGGUGAUCUGCCCUGCACUUCGGGAUAAGCCUGGGAAACUGGGUCUAAUACCGGAUAGGAGCCAUUUUAGUGUGAUGGUUGGAAAGUUUUUCGGUGUAGGAUGAGCUCGCGGCCUAUCAGCUUGUUGGUGGGGUAAUGGCCUACCAAGGCGGCGACGGGUAGCCGGCCUGAGAGGGUGGACGGCCACAUUGGGACUGAGAUACGGCCCAGACUCCUACGGGAGGCAGCAGUGGGGAAUAUUGCACAAUGGGCGCAAGCCUGAUGCAGCGACGCCGCGUGUAUGAAGAAGGCCUUCGGUUGUAAGUACUUCAGCGGGAGGAAGGCGAUACGGCUAAUAAUCGUGUCGUUUGACGUUACCGCAGAAGAAGCACCGGCUAACUCCGUGCCAG